GUGGGGAAUCUUGCGCAAUGGGCGAAAGCCUGACGCAGCCAUGCCGCGUGAAUGAUGAAGGUCUUAGGAUUGUAAAAUUCUUUCACCGGGGACGAUAAUGACGGUACCCGGAGAAGAAGCUCCGGCUAACUUCGUGCCAGCAGCCGCGGUAAUACGAAGGGGGCUAGCGUUGCUCGGAAUUACUGGGCGUAAAGGGCGCGUAGGCGGACAGCUUAGUCAGAGGUGAAAGCCCAGGGCUCAACCUUGGAAUUGCCUUUGAUACUGGCUGUCUUGAGUUUGGGAGAGGUGAGUGGAACUCCGAGUGUAGAGGUGAAAUUCGUAGAUAUUCGGAAGAACACCAGUGGCGAAGGCGACAUACUGGCUCAUUACUGACGCUGAGGCGCGAAAGCGUGGGGAGCAAACAGGAUUAGAAACCCGUGUAGUCC
RNAcentral lists this ribosomal RNA (425 nucleotides) under uncultured bacterium. RNAcentral describes it as "partial 16S ribosomal RNA". It matches the Rfam family "Bacterial small subunit ribosomal RNA", at positions 354 to 796 of the family's 1533-position model. The record is from RNAcentral.